GCUGAUAGCCAUGCCGCGUGUGUGAAGAAGGUUUGAGAUUAGUAAAGCACUUUAAGUUGGGAGAGGCCUUAGUUAAUACCUGCUGUUUUGACGUUACCAAAGAAAGGAGCACCGGCUAACUUCGUGCCAGCAGCCGCGGUAAUACGAAGGGUGCAAGCGUUAAUCGGAAUUACUGGGCCCAAAGCGAAGAAAAGGUGGUUCAGCAAGUUGGAUGUGAAAUCCCCGGGCUCAACCUGGGAACUGCAUCCAAAACUACUGAGCUAGAGACGGUAGAGGGUGGUGGAAUUUCCUGUGUAGCGGUGAAAUGCGUAGAUAUAGGAAGGAAC
RNAcentral lists this ribosomal RNA (326 nucleotides) under uncultured Pseudomonas sp. RNAcentral describes it as "bacterial SSU rRNA". It matches the Rfam family "Bacterial small subunit ribosomal RNA", at positions 382 to 707 of the family's 1533-position model. The record is from RNAcentral. Lineage: Bacteria; Pseudomonadati; Pseudomonadota; Gammaproteobacteria; Pseudomonadales; Pseudomonadaceae.